GGAGGAAAGUAGGGGAUCGAAAGACCUUAUGCUUUUGGAGCGGCCGAUGUCUGAUUAGCUAGUUGGUGAGGUAAAGGCUUACCAAGGCAACGAUCAGUAGUUGGUCUGAGAGGACGACCAGCCACACUGGGACUGAGACACGGCCCAGACUCCUACGGGAGGCAGCAGUGGGGAAUUUUGGACAAUGGGCGAAAGCCUGAUCCAGCAAUGCCGCGUGAGUGAAGAAGGCCUUCGGGCUGUAAAGCUCUUUCAGUUGAGAAGAAAAGGCUGUGACUAAUAAUCACAGCUCAUGACGGUAUCGACAGAAGAAGCACCGGCUAACUACGUGCCAGCAGCCGCGGUAAUACGUAGGGUGCAAGCGUUAAUCGGAAUUACUGGGCGUAAAGGGUGCGCAGGCGGUUCUGUAAGUCAGAUGUGAAAUCCCCGGGCUUAACCUGGGAACUGCGUUUGAAACUACAAAGCUAG
Molecule: ribosomal RNA, 465 nt
Filed under: uncultured ammonia-oxidizing bacterium
Lineage: Bacteria
Description: bacterial SSU rRNA
Rfam family: Bacterial small subunit ribosomal RNA
Source: RNAcentral